UUACACAAAUAUGAAGGCGGGCUGGAAUCUCUCGGGGUUACAGCCUUGCUGAAUUAUUCACCCUUGUCUUUUGCGUACUUCUUGUUUCCUUGGUGGGUUCGCCCACCACUAGGACAAACAUAAACCUUUUGUAAUUGCAAUCAGCGUCAGUAACAAAUUAAUAAUUACAACUUUCAACAACGGAUCUCUUGGUUCUGGCAUCGAUGAAGAACGCAGCGAAAUGCGAUAAGUAGUGUGAAUUGCAGAAUUCAGUGAAUCAUCGAAUCUUUGAACGCACAUUGCGCCCUUUGGUAUUCCAAAGGGCAUGCCUGUUCGAGCGUCAUUUGUACCCUCAAGCUUUGCUUGGUGUUGGGCGUCUUGUCUCUAGCUUUGCUGGAGACUCGCCUUAAAGUAAUUGGCAGCCGGCCUACUGGUUUCGGAGCGCAGCACAAGUCGCACUCUCUAUCAGCAAAGGUCUAGCAUCCAUUAAGCCUUUUUUCAACUUUUGACCUCGGAUCAGGUAGGGAUACCCGCU
This 514-nucleotide ribosomal RNA is filed under the name Alternaria solani. RNAcentral's name for it is "eukaryotic LSU rRNA". The stretch from base 169 to 322 matches the Rfam family "5.8S ribosomal RNA". Lineage: Eukaryota; Fungi; Ascomycota; Dothideomycetes; Pleosporales; Pleosporaceae. The record is from RNAcentral.